RNAcentral lists this ribosomal RNA (618 nucleotides) under uncultured bacterium. RNAcentral's name for it is "bacterial SSU rRNA". The stretch from base 1 to 544 matches the Rfam family "Bacterial small subunit ribosomal RNA", at positions 338 to 873 of the family's 1533-position model. The record is from RNAcentral.
CCUACGGGAGGCAGCAGUAGGGAAUCUUCCGCAAUGGACGAAAGUCUGACGGAGCAACGCCGCGUGAACGAUGAAGGCCUUCGGGUCGUAAAGUUCUGUUGUUAGGGAAGAACAAGUGCUAGUUGAAUAAGCUGGCACCUUGACGGUACCUAACCAGAAAGCCACGGCUAACUACGUGCCAGCAGCCGCGGUAAUACGUAGGUGGCAAGCGUUGUCCGGAAUUAUUGGGCGUAAAGCGCGCGCAGGCGGUUUCUAAGUCUGAUGUGAAAGCCCCCGGNUCAACCGGGGAGGGUCAUUGGAAACUGGGAAACUUGAGUGCAGAAGAGGAAAGUGGAAUUCCAAAGUGUAGCGGUGAAAUGCGUAGAGAUUUGGAGGAACACCAGUGGCGAAGGCGACUUUCUGGUCUGUAACUGACGCUGAGGCGCGAAAGCGUAGGGGAGCAAACAGGAUUAGAUACCCUGGUAGUCCACGCUGUAAACGAUGAGUGCUAAAGUGUUAGAGGGUUUCCGCCUUUAGNGCUAGAAGUUACGNAUUAGCNCUCGCGUGGAGAGUCGCGAGACGAGUAACGUACGAAGAAGUUAGUAGNGUUGAGAGNGCGAGGACGACGACGAGGAGAGG